GAUGAACGCUGGCGGCGUGCCUAAUACAUGCAAGUCGAGCGAACGGACGAGAAGCUUGCUUCUCUGAUGUUAGCGGCGGACGGGUGAGUAACACGUGGAUAACCUACCUAUAAGACUGGGAUAACUUCGGGAAACCGGAGCUAAUACCGGAUAAUAUUUUGAACCGCAUGGUUCAAAAGUAAAAGACGGUCUUGCUGUCACUUAUAGAUGGAUCCGCGCUGCAUUAGCUAGUUGGUAAGGUAACGGCUUAUCAAGGCAACGAUGCAUAGCCGACCUGAGAGGGUGAUCGGCCACACUGGAACUGAGACACGGUCCAGACGCCUACGGGAGGCAGCAGUAGGGAACCUUCCGCAAUGGGCGAAAGCCUGACGGAGCAACGCCGCGUGAGUGAUGAAGGUCUUCGGAUCGUAAAACUCUGUUAUUAGGGAAGAACAUAUGUGUAAGUAACUGUGCACAUCUUGACGGUACCUAAUCAGAAAGCCACGGCUAACUACGUG
RNAcentral lists this ribosomal RNA (497 nucleotides) under uncultured bacterium. Its description in RNAcentral is "partial 16S ribosomal RNA". It matches the Rfam family "Bacterial small subunit ribosomal RNA", at positions 28 to 507 of the family's 1533-position model. The record is from RNAcentral.